This 439-nucleotide ribosomal RNA is filed under the name uncultured bacterium. Its description in RNAcentral is "partial 16S ribosomal RNA". It matches the Rfam family "Bacterial small subunit ribosomal RNA", at positions 342 to 795 of the family's 1533-position model. The record is from RNAcentral.
CGGGAGGCAGCAGCAGUGAGGAAUAUUGCACAAUGGGGGGAACCCUGAUGCAGCAACGCCGCGUGGAGGAUGACGCAUUUCGGUGUGUAAACUCCUUUUAUAUGUCAAGAAAAUGACGGUAGCAUAUGAAUAAGCACCGGCUAACUCCGUGCCAGCAGCCGCGGUAAUACGGAGGGUGCAAGCGUUACUCGGAAUCACUGGGCGUAAAGGACGCGUAGGCGGGUUGGAAAGUCAGGUGUGAAAUCCUACAGCUUAACUGUAGAACUGCACUUGAAACUUCUAAUCUAGAGUAUGGGAGGGGGAGAUGGAAUUAGUGGUGUGGGGGUAAAAGCCGUAGAUAUCACUAGGAAUACCUAAAGCGAAGGCGAUCUCCUGGAACAUUACUGACGCUAAGGCGUGAAAGCGUGGGGAGCAAACAGGAUUAGAUACCCCCGUAGUC